Molecule: long non-coding RNA, 17135 nt
Filed under: Capsella rubella
Lineage: Eukaryota; Viridiplantae; Streptophyta; Magnoliopsida; Brassicales; Brassicaceae
Description: long non-coding RNA (CRUB_LNC005051)
Source: RNAcentral
CUAGCACACACCAAUAGGAUAAACAAGAACAAAUAAGUCCAAACUGUUCCUAUAUAUUUAAACUAGCCCCAUAUAAAUGUUCUGGACCAUUAAUGUACUUAUUUAUUCACAAGCCAAUUUAGUGUCGAAGCUGCUCAAGCAAAUAGCAAAGGCUUGAAAGGCAGAGAGAGGAUAGCUAUAGUCCAUAGUGAACAUGUCCUUACCCACUUUCCCAAACUGUAGUAUCACCUUAUCUGAUGGCCCUGGCUGCUGUGAUGGUCCUGAUGGUGUUGUAGUCACUGCUCUAGUAGCAUCACUGCCAGAAGAGGGCUGAACCGUUGCACCGGAGAUUAGCUGGAAGUUCUUAACCGAAGCAACUGUCACUCUCCCUCUGAAGUUAAGGCACCAGAACUUUAACUGUUGGUGCCACCUUGGCGUUUUAUUUCUCAGCACUAGAGGUCCAUCCUUUCCUUCUUUCUCUUGCGGUCCAAGUCCAACGAUGUCUAAGAACCGGGAGCUGCUGAAACCUCCCGAAUGUUCGAUAAUCGUUGAGGAAUCAAAGCCGCGGAAAGACUCAUCAAGGGAAUGUUCCAGAUUCUCCAGUUGGUCAGGGACAGUGCCGCGGGGCUCUAGAGCUAGGGAAGGGAUAGAGUGCAUAAUGCAGUGCAUCUUCCGAGGUCCACGGGGUCCAAGAAAGUUCAGCUCAUAUGUAACUUGAGCAAUGUUGUAACUUCCAGAUGGGACAUUGGGAGAGACUUUCUUGGAGAUGAACCUACAACUCCGGUUUGGCGGGGACAGUAUUUGGCAGCUGUUGUACGCAGGCACUGUAUCGUAUAUUAUGAACUUUGUCCCUAGAAAGUUAGACCUGAAAAUGAAGUUAUAGAACAUUAAGUAAGAAUUAAUCAAGAACUCAAUCAUAUUUUGGAAGAAUUAAAUUUUCUUUUUUUAUAAUCUUAUUCUUAAUUACCUCAUUUUGCCAAUGUAAGUACUACUUGAUCUUGAAUUGUUGUCUGCAUCCAUUGAUAUCACAUACUCUGUAUAUGUAGUCCUUCGUGUGCGCUUAGCCGAGAGAAGAAACUUUCCAUUUUCAACAAGUAAGGCUGUUCAAAGGAUAGUAAAUGAUCAGCCACUAGUAUAUAUCAAGAAUCAAAACUAAGUAAUACAGAAAAUUUAAUGUUGCUGUUAAUUUCAAGAACUUGAUUAGUAAAUGACCAAACAUAGUUUACUGAAGCAAAAGGUUUAGUAACAUCGAUAAAGACGAAUGACUUACAAUGACUAAGAGAAAGGUAAAGAUGGUAAGUCAUAUUAGACUUGUCCCUUUUGAUAAAACAAUGUAUGGUUCCGUCCCUAGGCCCGGGCUACACAAAUCAUAAAAGUGGUCAGAGAAACCGAGAUAAUAUCGAAUGGAAGUAACGAAUAACGAAACCCCGCACCUGUUUCAACGAAACCGGAAACGUGAGUUUACCCGAAAACUCAGGACUUUUGACAAUAUCUUUGCACAUUAAUCUCCAUGUCUUGCAGACACCAGCACAAGCAACAACUUGUUUACGAGCAGGCCACUUGCUCUCGCUUUCAUCCAACCUUCUCAUCACAUCUCGUAGUAUAGGAGCUGGCAAAUUAGCCCAACGAGUGUUCUUGAUUACAGCAAGAUCUUCACCAAGUGUCUUAACCAAUGCACCGUGAGAUUUACUCCUCUCAUGAGUCCCAUUAGACACUCUCACUUCGAAACCAUGUCUCGAAAAGCUUCCUAUACUAUCUCUAACAUCACGAACAAUGCUACGAAACGACAUUUCUCUUGAUACCAUAGCUUCUAACUUCAGACCAACGCUACAAAAACAUGAAAAAACAAACAUUAUGAGAAAAAUCUUAACAUAAAGUUCUCAAAUUACAGAGUAUAUAUAUAUAUUUUUUUGAUUAUACCAAAGCUACCUAAAUUAAAGAGUAUAAUAUCUAUAAUAAAUGUAAAUUAUGGAAAUGUUUUAGACAAAGAAACAAUUACAAAAGUUAGGUGGAACUAACCAAAAUCACCAUAGUACAAGUUAGACUAAAUCUUGAUACUGCCACAAUUUCAAGAAAACAAAAUCUUUAGAUAACCAUACUAACUUAAACCUUUUUGACCUAACUUAAACCUUUUCGACUCGAAAAACCUAAAAAUUCAAGAACACAACAAAAUAAAGAGAUUCAAAGCUAAAGCCAUAUAUCUUGAGAGCCAAAGGUUAGAUCUUUAGGUAUAUAUAUGUAGCAAAGCAAAGAGAUCAAAGCUAAACCCAUAAACCAAAAAACAGUUUCCUUUUCAAAUUCAACAAAGCUUCAUUAGCUUUUCAAGAAUCUUGAAACCCAAAGGUUAGUCCCAAAGCCAAACCCAUAAAAGAAAAAAAGUUUGAAAAUUAAAGAACACAGAUCAAAGAAGACUAACCCUUAAUUUUUUUCUUCAGUUUGAAGUAUCUCUCUGAUCUUUUUGGUCUCUCUCUGAUAUUUCUUACUUGUAAAGAGUUGCGGAUCUCAAAACUUUAUCAAAUAGAGUAUAACUUUAUGAACUUGUAAUAAAGUCCAAUUUUUUUUUUUGGUUCAGAUAUACUAUUUUUAGAAAUCAGUGUUUUAUAUUUGGAAAUAGUAACAAUUUUAUUUAAUUUAAACGUCUCAAAAUGAGUAAAUUACAUUUCAUUAUUUUGUAUGAUUCGAUGAUCAAAUGACACGAGUACAAUGGUCUUUACUUAGGAUGCUUAAUUGUAGGCUUUGUAGCCAAGAUGUUGAAGAGUCUCUAUUACUUUUUUUUUCUUUUUUUUUUUAUGAAUUUGUUAAAGCAAGUAGAGACAAAGUCUUAUUACGAUGGUAAUUUUAACAAGUAGGAAAACUAAGUUAAACCAGAAACAAAAACAAAAGUUUAGUACUUAGUAUUAGUUAAAAUUAGCUCGAAACAUGCGCUAUGCUGCAAGAUUUUUUCCUAAAUCAUAAUUUAAUAUAAGUUGUUUGAAAUGCAGUAUGAUAUAAUUUAAUGCUAAUAUUUAUCCCGUAAUGUACGGUGAGACAAAAUUUACUCUUUGAAAAUUUAAAUUUUCUGGAAAUUACAAAGAUUUGUUGGAAUUUGUUAAUAAUUAUUGAAAUUACAUAAUACCAAUUUUUAAUAAAUCAUUUGAUUGGUCAUAUCUUAUAUUGAUGUUAAUAAGAUUAGUAAAAUAUUGAUUUAACCAGUAUUGAAGUAUUAAACUCGUUCCGUUAUACAGUCCGUCCGAGUUAUUCUAAAUUUUUCCAUUAAGUUUCAGUAUAUCAAUUAUAAUAUUUUAAACUUCUGAAAAGUAUCAAAAUUGACUAUAUACGAUAAAAAUAAAGAAUUCACCUAAACUUCGAAUUAAAUGAUUUUAAACUUUGGAUGCUUAUUAAGUGAAACUUUAUACUCAUUCAGAUUUGAAUUCAUUUUGAUCUUAUAUAUAAUAUGACUCUGAAACAUUCUCUAAAUAUUUGAACUGAUAUGGGAUGUCGAACACACACUUUUCUAUUAAUUGAGUGAUAUACGUCCAUUUAAAAAAAAUUCAAACCACAAAACUUGUAAAAAAUUAUUAACUUUAUGUAUUAUUGAUUAUAAAAAAUAACUAGAAAAUAAAAUGAAACAAAUAUGAUAGGAGAAUCAUAAUUUCAGAUCUUUAAAAAAUGAAAAAAAUGCACAAUAACCUACUUUUACUCAAACUAUUUACCAAAAAACCCACUUCUUACUACCUCUAUAUUUUUUACUAUGAAAAUGACUAUUAACCCCUUCAAAAGCUUUAACUCUUUUCUUUCCUCUCAUUUAUCUAAUUUCUUCAAAAGCUUCUCUCUUUCUCUCUCUUUCUCUAAAGUCAUUCUCCUUAGCUUCUCUCUCUUUUCUUUUACUAGUAUUUUAAUCAAGCAAAACAAAGGGUUUUUGCUCUUUUCUAUUGUUUCACUUCUUUCUUCAAAGUUUUAAUUUAUUUUCAUGUGUUCUAUGAAUCGUUUUCUUUUGCUAUGAGAGAAAAUGUUUCUUCUUUUUUCUUUCGUUUACUUCAAAAUUUUGAAGAUUUUGCGUUAGAAAAGCCAUAGAGAGAGAGAGAGAGAUAGAAAGAAAGAUUUAAACUUUCAAGUGAAUUUUUAGGGUUUCUAAAAUGGGGGAAAUAGCAAUCAUAUGGUUCAACAGAGACAAUUUCAUAUCGAAAGUAAUCAUAAUACUAGUAUGAACGAUAUCAUGUUGACAAAAAAUCUUCAUUGUGGGAUAAGCCUGGGAGACGGAGAGAGAUACAAUGAGCCGUUACUUUGAACAGUUUGGUGACAAUAGUUGUUCUUUGGGAGACGCAUACAGAAUCAAUUUCACGAGAAUUGACUUCUACAUGAGAAUUGUUGAACUUCAUGGACAACAAAAAUGUUGGAACAUGUGGACAUUGCCUCGUGGACACCAAUAACACACCAAAGUCACCUCGAUACAACAACCAUAUUGUAGAGAAAGACAAACACUAUAUUGGUAUAAGGAGAAAGAGAUACUUCACGCGGAUGAGAUUUUGCUAUGCAAUUGCUCUAUUUAGUAUCAACCAGAUGACUCGGAAUUCCAUCUGGACAUGAUUGUAUGGAUUAUAACUAACUAACAAUUCAACAUCAACAAAGAAAUAACAAUGCAUAAGUUUAGAUUUUAGUGUUUAUGGUUUAGGAUUUAGUGGUUAGAUUUAGGACUUAAGGUUUAAGGACAUGUUGUGUACAUGUUUUAGCAAUUAUAAAGCAAUUUCAUACUUCAACGAUGCCUCUCCUUCUACCUUUUUGAAAUAAUUUAUUUACUUUCACUCUAGCUUCGUUUUCAUCUUCCAAUGUUUUUUUGUUAACUUAAUUUUCAUAUUCCAUUGUUUCUCUUUUCACCUAGAUACAUUGGCCACAUAUAUCCAUGUGGUUACAGUAGUGUGGAUAUGCUUGGAUGUUCACUAAAAUAUUUGGAGGUUAGAAUGUAGUGUGUGAUUUAUGCUUUUGGUUUUAGAUUUAAAUUAAAUUGGAAAAGGGUUAAGGUUUGAGAUUCAUGGUUUAUGUUUAGAGUUUAGUGUUAAAGAUUAGAUUUUAAGGAUUAGGGUUUAGGGUUUAGGGCUUAAGGGCUAAAUGUAUAUGAUUUAGGAUUUAGGGUUUAGGUUCCCUUGUUGCAGCUUCAAAUCCAUAGGAAGCUAUUGAGUUGAUAAGAGUUAAGAACUUCAUGUUUUGGAAUUGGGAUUUAAAGUUUAUGGUUUAGGGGUUAGGGUAUACGGUUUAAGGUAUAGGGGUUAAGAUGUUUGUUUGAUAUUUGUUUAUGAUUGUUUUACCAAAUCAUAAAAUUUUUCAUGAAAUAAGUUUUACUAUGUUUUUAUAUUACUAAACACAUAAUAAUUAUAAAUACAAAUAGAAUAAUACAUAAACAAUACUUUAACUGAUCAUCCACUUAUCAUUGAACAUAUGUUCAAGUACAAAUGGAUAGUAUGUAAUAUAAUAAUAAAUCUAAAAUAUAGCAAUAUGUAUCUUGAAAUGUAAAGAAAAAUAUAAACACAACAUAUUGUAUAAAAAUAGUUAGAUAAAUUUUGACAAUAAGAAGCUAAAAUGAAAACAAUAAAAAAAAGACAUGUAAAAAGUGAGAGAGAAGAAGAGUGAAAGAUAGAAGAAACGAUUAAAAAACAAAAGAACUCAGCUUUUCUUUAUUUUGUUCUCUACUACUUCAAGGGAAAAAAUGUUAGAGGAGGUAGGAUGGUCAGUUGGUCAGAUCUAGUAUGGAUCGUACAUGGACGGUAGCUGGAGUCGGCUCUAAAAUUAUUUUCAAUAAUAUGAAAGUUACAGAUAAAGUACACCUAUAGCUAAAAGUAUAUUAUUUGGCAAAAACAAAAGAACUCAAUAAUGAAGUUAGAGCUACAUGAUUCUAUAUGAGAAUAAUAGUCUACAACUUAUAUUAGACUAUAAUUACAUUUAUUAAUUAAUUAUCAUAUUCAAAACAAUUAAAAAAAGAGAAAUUUGUUAACUCUUCCAUGUACAUUAACAAAAUUUCUCCCGCCUGCCAUUUAGAGAAACUCCUUCUCCCGCCUGCCACAAAAGCUUUGUAAAAAGACCAGUGUACCCCUAGACGAAUUGGCUUCUCUGUCUUUGUGUCCUGACUGUUUUUUUUUUCAUUAUCUCUUUCUCAUCUUCUCUCUUCUUUUUCUUCUUCCAACAACAAACAGUUUCAGCGGACCAGAUCCAACGGACGAACUCCGGCGGACCAGAUCCGACAGACCAGAUCCGAUAGACCAGAUCCGGCGGACCAUAGUUAAUUCUGGUCCAAAUUCGGCAGACCAGAUUCGACGGACCAGUUCCGACAGACCAUAACUCCAGCAGACGAGUUCUGGCAGACCACAAUCAGUUCUGAUGAACUAUAACCAGUUCAAACAGACCAAAUAUUUGGCGGACGAGUUCAGGCGGACCAUAGUCAGUUCCUACGAACUUAAACCAGCUCCGGCAUAGCAGAUUCAGCUGACCAAAUAGACCAUAUACGAUAGACUAGUUGUGGCAAACCAUAUCCGGCGAAUCAUUGGCCGGCGGACAAAAGCUAGUUAUGAUAGACUUGUUCUAGGUGACAAAAAUCGGCGGACCAGUUCUGGUGACCUGAUUCGGCGGACUAACUAGACGAUGAAACAAGUGAUGCGGUUAUUACACUAUGGACAAUACAUUUUUCUGUAGAUGGACAAGAUUCGGCGAACCAAUGUAGUGGACCAGAUCUUGUUAUGGCGGAUCAGAUGUAGUGAACCAGAUCUUGUGGACGAGAUCUUUUUUUUUUUUUGUCUAUCGUUUUUUUGUCUUUGCUUCUUCACCACCCACAACUUCCACAAAAUCUCUCUACUUGUCCUCCAUUAGCACCCACCAAUUUGUACAGAUCUGGUUUACAUUGUGCCCCUAAAUAAAUCAAAACUUUAUUUGUGUCCUUCUAUAGAACGUCUGUGGUGGAGGACCAAACUCCUGGUUUUGGUACCCAAACGAGAGUUGUCUCUCAAAACUUCUCAAUGUAAGUUUUGAUCUACCAGAUCUUUUGCACUCAAUAUGUCCAUCAACACAGUUGUCCAAUAUUAGCUACUGCUGCCAACACAAAAAGCAAAGUUUCUCUCUCCAAUGUCCAGGGCAAAAUCGUCCAAGUUUCAUCCUUUGUGGCAUGAUUUGAAAGACAUUUUCAAUAAUGGCAGUUUCACAAAAUUGAGUUUCCAAAAUGGCAUAGCCAAUAAAAUUCCCUUAAAAAAAUGACAUUGCUUAUAAUACAAUAUCUUUUAAAAUCUAGAAUGGAAGAUUUUAAAUCUCUCGAGAGUAAUUAUCUCUAGACUAUAUCACAAUAUUAUGCAACAUAAGAUAAAAAGAAAAGAAUUGUCGUUUUUAUCUCAUUCAGUAUCUUGAAACAUACUCCCUUCGUUUCAUAAUAAGUGUCAUUUUAGACUUAACUUUUUGUUUCAAAAUAAGUGUCGUACUUUCAAUGUAGAUGUUUGGUACGUUUUCUAGUUUUAUCCCUAUUAAUUUAAUGUAUUAACCAAUAGAAAAAUUUAUAUGAUACAUUAAUAAGUAAUGAUUUUCUUAAGUUGUGUGAAAAUAUCAAGAAUGACAUUUAAUUUGAAACUGAAGGAGUAUGUUAUAAUCAGAAAAUAUGAAUGUUCACGAUUUUUUAAUAGACCACACAAUACAUGUAUAUAUAGGGAAAAUUUUAUUUUAAACUUUCAAAGAGUCACUUAGUAGCACUUUAAACAUCGAGAGAAUUUCACUAACACUAUUAACCACCAAAGUAAAUUUACAAACACUUUAAACCUUAAAAUUAGCUUUUAUAUUUGGAUUGCCAUAAAAUAAAUAGUUUUGUUUGCCAACAUAAAAUAGUUAAAUUAUAUUUGUUUACUUUAAAAUUUAAUAGUUUUAUCGUUUUGAGAAAAACUUCAACUAUUACGACUACUCACAUUCCGAUGUUAUAUAUAGUGGCGUAUGUAGAAUUAUAUUUUGAGUGGGGCACAUACACUUUUUUAUUGUAAAAAUUGUAGUAUAAACAGAAUUAUCAUCUAACAUGUUGGUAUUACAAAAAAGGUUUUCUAAAAUGUGUAUGUGGCAGUUACCCCACCUUCAUCUAAGGUAGAUCCGCCACUAUAUAUCUAUCUCCACAAAUUAUGAUUCAAACUGAUUAAUUUCUCAUUAGAAAUCAAAGAAUCUUCCAAAAAUAUGUAUAUAGGUAAUAUUACAUCUUUAACCGAUUAAGAUGCGGAUGUUUUUUCUGGUUUCUGAAGAGAAAUCAAUCGAUUUGAAUCAAAACACAGUGGAGAUGCAUUGUGUCUACGAGAAAAAUGAAAAAAAACUAUGAAAUGAAUAUAAUUUCUGUAAGGUUUGUGGUCAGACGGUGAGUAAUCGAUAAAUAAAGUAUUAAUUUAAAAUUUAAUUAAACAUACAUAAUUUAAAUAUUUUGUGUUGGACGAAAAUUACUAUUCAUCAUUUUUACGGCAGUGCAAACAUAGAAGCAAGUUUUAAGGUAUCAAGUGUUAGUAAAAUCACAUGCUAAAGAUUUUUUAUUUUUGAGGUUUAAAGUGCUAAUCAGUGAUAUUUUGAAGUUUUGGUGACGGUUAAAAAUGUGAUUUUUCCUAUAUCUUAUUAUAUAAACCUUGGUUUUCAAAGUCAGCCAUUAACAAGAUCGUAACAUGUGUCAAUUAUAAACAAUAAGAUGUUGACACGUGUCGAUUCUAAUUUUGUUAAUAUUUAGAUAAAAUAGAAAUAUUAUUAACCCUAUCGAAAAAAGAAAUAUAUAAAAUAAAUAUUAUAAAAAAUUAUAUAUUAAGAAAUUAUUAAUAAAAUUAAACAAAUAACCUAAUUUCAGUUAUGUCAAUUUGGUUUAUUAAUACGAUAGGGAUUUAAAAAUUAUAAUUAACAAGAAUAUAUGUCAGUUUUUGUUUACAAAAGAGGAUUAAGGUUUAAACUUUAAUUUUACAAUCAAAACAUGUUAUUUGUUGCUUUGGGUAUAUAAAUGAUAAAUGAGAAUUAAGCUCUAUCUUUGUAAAUUAAAAUUAUGGUUAAAGUUUAACAAUUAAACGAGAUUAUAUGUCGAAACUUGGUUUUUAAAUUUACUAACUCACGUGAUCAUGAUAAGUGUCAAGUAAAACAUAAGAUGUUGCAACAUGAUAUAUCUAAUUUUCUUAAUAUUAAGAUAAAAUAGAUUUUAAAAAAAUAUUAAAAAUAAAAUAGAUAAAAUAAUUUUAAAAAAUUAAAGAGAACUUUUAAGAAAUACCCCUUUUGGUGUACCCCUUUUCAAAAAAUACCCCCUUUAUCUAUCCAUUUUCAAAAAUAUCCCUGUUUAAAUAUGAAAAAUUAUAAACUUUUAUAUGGUUUAUAAGGUACUUCUAUAUAAUAACUACUACUUAGAAUUUGAUACAAAUAUUUUCUAAUGUUUUAAAAGGUUUUAAAUCUUUUUUACAAGUUUUAUAAGGUUUUUAAAAAGGUUUAAAAGGUUUUGAAAAAGUUUUUAAAAGGUAUUUAUAAGUUAUUUUACGCUAUUUAUGAAAGAUAUAUAAAAGUUUAUACAUAAAAAAAGAUAAUUUGUUUGUAUAUUUAUAAGUUUACACACAUAUUUGGAUAAGUUUCAAUAUUUUUAGUGGUUGGUUUGAUGAAGUUUGAAAUAGGGGUACUUUUAAAAAGUCGUACUGGAAAAUUGUAUUUUUGAUAAAUUUAAAAGUAAAAAAAAUUGAUAUUUAUCAAAAAAAUAUGUGUAAGCUUAUGUAUAUAGAUACAAAUUAUCUUUAUAUGUGUGUAAAUUUAUAUCUAUAUUUCAUAAAUACUACAUAAAUAUCUUUUGAAUAUUAUUUAAAAGCCAUAUAAAAACUUUGUAAACCUUAUAAAAACCUUAUAAAAGUCUUACAUGCCGUUUAGAACCUUUUAAAAUUUUAUAAAUAUUUGUAUUGAGUCUCCCAAUAGUACUGAUGAUUUAGAUGUACCUUAUAAACUAUAUAAAAGUUUACAAUUUUUCAUAUUUGAAAAAGGUAUUUUUAAAAAUGGAUAGAAAAUUGGUGUAUUUUUAAAAAAGGGUAUUUUUAAAAAUGGAUAGCAAUUUCAUUGUCUAAAACAUUAGGGUGAAUAAAAUAUUUCGAAAAUAAUAUUUUUUUAGCUUAAAUUAAAGAUAACAAAAGUUCAAUAUAAUUUAUAAUAUAGUAAUUUGAAAAUAUAUAUAUUUUUAAAAAUUUGUAGUUUUUUAUAAUUCGAAUAUGAAAGAUUUUUUAAUGUUUUCCUCAACGAUGCUAUAAUUUAUUUUAGAAUCUUUAUGUUUAUUUGCGUUGUUUAUAUGAACUUCUUUACAAAUGACUAUAUUUGUAUUUAACAUCAUAUUUUAGAUUGAUGUUAAUUUGAAAGAAAUUUACCAUCAUAUUAAAUAAUAAUUAAUUAAUUUUCAUAGUCUGAGAAUGAUUUUUUGAAAAAUUGAAAGUUAAGAAAUAACAAUUUUUACAAAAUGGUAUAAUCAUUUUUAGAGGAUAAUUGCUAAAAUAAGAUUUUUUAAAAUAUUUUAGCAAUAUUAUGAAUAAUGGCGAAUAGUUCCCAAAUGUUUUGGUGAUUGUCAGUUUGACAUUACUUGAUUUUUAUAAUUAACGUUUAAUAACCAAUUUAAGAUAUAUAUACACAUUUAUUUGAUACUUCAAACCAAAUAAAAUCUCUUUCCAAAUGAAAAUAAUUUCUCUUAUUUUUUCAAAAAAAAAUUGGAAAUUAUUUUUUUAAGUGAUAAUAAAUUUUAAUUUUAAUUUAAUUUUAAAUAAAAUUAACCCGUCCAUCGGACGGGUACUAAACUAGUAUAAGAAGAAAACACCAAAUAAAUUUUAUCUGAUAUGGAUUUGAUGCUAGCCUUGUACAAUCUUAUAAACAUAUCUUAUAUUGCAAUGUUUUCAAACUUUUUAAAUGAUGUAUUAGGUUUAGAACUUGAUUGGUUCUACCGCUCUAAACCUCUCGAAAUCGUUCAAUUUCAAAAGUUUUUUUUUUUUUUUUUGGACAAACUAAGAAUUUCAAAAGUUUUUUUCUCGCAAACGCUUACAAAAAAAAAACAUACAUAAACAUUUAUUAAUUAAAAUAGAUAAUAUCAUAUUCUAUAUAUAUUCACGUUAAUUCUCAUUGGCAUUUUUUUAACCUUAAUCUUGAAAGAAUAAUAUUUUUUUUGGGUUGAUUUUAUAAACUCAGGUUCGAUUCAAAAACUUUUACUUGGCAUGUGCUCAUUACAUCUCUGUUUUGUAGAUGUUCAUAUUAUGUAAUCAUAAGAUUUAGAAGACUAUAAAUAAUUGAAUAAAUUUAUUUAAUUACAAAAUGUAUCCUAUUGAGAAGUACAUCAAUAAUUCUCAUUUUAGGCUUUUUUAUCUUCCAAGUUGCCAAAUGGUUUAGUAGUAGAAGGUGACCCUAAUAGAGACGAUACCAAAAUUCCCUCUGAGCCUACACGAGCACCUAAUUGUUCGAUCAUAUUAAAGAUAUGUCUCUUAACUUUUUAAAACUAGAAAAAUUAAAUCCUAAUUGAUCCUUAAUCUCUAUAUAAAACGUGUGCCAAGCCAAACCAGUAUAUAGAACUCAAACUCGGAUUUGUAUUUUAUGAUUUACACUUCCGGAUAAAUAAGUUGAGCUAAACCAUCACAAGAAGUUUUCUUUAUUAUUCAAGAUGUGAAGUAUCAUUAAGUAUUUAAGCAUACAUGUAUAUACAAUUAGAUAUAUGAUUAAGUGGAUAUCGAUUGGUGGUAUUAGUUGGGGAGAUACUAGACAUUAAAUACGUAUAUAGUAAGGUUUAGACAAUGUACUUACAAUUCCAUGUGAGCCAACUUGAUUUUGCUAUCUACAUUUUCACCGUUGACUUUUGUCGGUACCGUUGACUCUCACUACUUGUUCUAAAUUUUUUUUUUUCAUAGGUUUAAUACUUCUAGUCUUCUACCCAUGGUAAAUGUGAGUGUAAAAUACUGAGCACUAGUUAGACCAUCAUUAACAAGGGGUUCUUAAAUAAAUCUUAAGCUAAAAAAAGUUAAGAAAAGGUAAGAAAAGUUAGUUUAUGUCUCUUGUAUAAGAGAUAUUUAAUCACUUUUCUUAGUUUUUUUGUACUUUUCUUAACUUAAGAUUUUGUUAAAACCCCUUGAUAAUCAUGCUCUAAGAAAACAAAAUUUAAAAACACAACAUAGAAAAGUAGAGACUAGAACAAAUAUUUAUUAGUACAACCAUAUUGGUAAAAAUUUCCAAAAUAAUGGUAAAAAGUAAAUUAUGCAUUACGUAGCACUAGGACUUUGGUUAAUUUGGUUAUUUCAGUUCGGUUAUUUUGGUUUUUUUUUUUAAACUAGUUUUCCGGUUAUGUAAAGAUAAACUUCUGUUUUUUUUUUCAAAUGUCUUGGUUGUUUCAAAUUUGAUUAUUUCGGGUAAUUCAAUUAUUUUAGAUGUAAAUUUUGGUUAUAUUGUUUAAAAAAUAUUAAAAAAAUGAAAAAAUUGGUUUACAUAAAUAACCUAAUUAUUUUGGUCUUCUGAAUUUUUCUUUUUCUGCCAAUAAUUCAACCGCCAUAACCGAAGCCAAACCGAACACCAAGAUAUCGGUUUUAUCCGGUUCGAAUAAUAUUAUUAAGGGUCAACGUCAAAGUAGAGAGACUAGAACAAAUAAGUAUUGUCAAAUCUCUAGCAUAUGAUGGUGAUAUAUGCGGAUGUGAUGUGGUUUGAAAAUAUCAACAAGUAUUGGAUAAUAAUGGAAAGUAAUUAAAUGAGCAAAAAACUAUAGAUAGAUCGAAACCUAUUGAAAAGUCUUAUGAACUAAAUAAGUUGUGUAGAUCUAUUUUGACUUAGUAGCAUAGAAAGCAAAAAAUUUCAUUAAAUGUUUCCCUCCAAUGGCUCAACGGCCCCAAACGCGUAGAACGUAACAUGCAUGGGGAUGCAUAUUAAUGGCUUCUUCGUCCCACUUGCUUGUUUUUUUAGAGCUUUGAAGAUUUCAUUUAUCUCCCUAUAUAAGGGAAUGUUCAGUUCCAGUGAGUGAGACACGACAAGAGAGACACAUACAAAGAGAUGGAGCUUAAGAGUGUUACUUGUUUGGUUCUUUCUUUGGUUUUGCUUAAUUUGGGUGUUGAGUGUGUUCUUGGAGAUGGAUCUGUGGUUGGCCCUGAGAGGUAUAGAGACAAUGAUUGUAGGUGGGGGCGGAGGUGUGGUGGACGUGGCCGGUUUGGACGCGGUGGUGGAGGAGGGUUUGGUGGUGGAGGAGGUGGAGGGAUUGGUGGUGGUUCUGGUCAGGGUGGUGGGUUUGGAGCUGGAGGUGGUGUAGGCGGUGGUGCUGGUGGAGGCAUUGGUGGUGGAGGGGGAGCUGGAGGUGGUGGGGGUGGAGNNNNNNNNNNNNNNNNNNNNNNNNNNNNNNNNNNNNNNNNNNNNNNNNNNNNNNNNNNNNNNNNNNNNNNNNNNNNNNNNNNNNNNNNNNNNNNNNNNNNNNNNNNNNNNNNNNNNNNNNNNNNNNNNNNNNNNNNNNNNNNNNNNNNNNNNNNNNNNNNNNNNNNNNNNNNNNNNNNNNNNNNNNNNNNNNNNNNNNNNNNNNNNNNNNNNNNNNNNNNNNNNNNNNNNNNNNNNNNNNNNNNNNNNNNNNNNNNNNNNNNNNNNNNNNNNNNNNNNNNNNNNNNNNNNNNNNNNNNNNNNNNNNNNNNNNNNNNNNNNNNNNNNNNNNNNNNNNNNNNNNNNNNNNNNNNNNNNNNNNNNNNNNNNNNNNNNNNNNNNNNNNNNNNNNNNNNNNNNNNNNNNNNNNNNNNNNNNNNNNNNNNNNNNNNNNNNNNNNNNNNNNNNNNNNNNNNNNNNNNNNNNNNNNNNNNNNNNNNNNNNNNNNNNNNNNNNNNNNNNNNNNNNNNNNNNNNNNNNNNNNGACAUGGUGGUGGAUUUGGUGCUGGGGGAGGAGUUGGAGGUGGUGCCGGAGGAGGACUUGGCGGUGGUGGUGGUGCCGGAGGUGGAGGUGGACACGGUGGAGGCCUUGGAGGAGGUUUUGGGCACGGUGGUGGCGCUGGAGGAGGUCAUGGGGGAGGAGUAGGCAUUGGGAUUGGUAUAGGAAUAGGUGUUGGGGUUGGUGGAGGCUCCGGUCAUGGUUCCGGCAGUGGAAGCGGUAGCGGUGGUGGUGGCCAUUAAUCAAAACGACUUAUUAUUACUACUCAUCUUAGUACUUUUAUGUCCUCUUGCAUUUGUUUUUAAUCACAAAACACCAAAAAAACAUGUAUGAUACAUCAGUUUUCAUUUCAAAAUGUGAUUUCUCCUAUUUUUGUUUAAGAAUGCUUUCGAUAAUCACAAUAAGAAAAUAUUGUUCAAUACGGAUUGAUCUUAAAUGUUUUGAAUGAAAGGAACAUAUCUAUAUUUUCAAUGUGUAACAUACAAAGAGGGCCAUUUACUUCAAUUUUGAGGUCCUAUUUAGUCAGAUAUUUCUCCACCAAACUCACAUAAAAUGAAUAUUAUAGCUAUAUGGCCAACUUCACUUAUUUUAUAAGCAACAUUUACAGCAGAAAAUUUACUUCAUUGGCCAAUGUUUAUUUUUGAAUUCAUUAUUUGCUUUAACUUUUCAUUUUCUGUUCAUAGAUGAAAUCUCUUACAAGCACCAUUGUUAUCUUUCCAAACUCGGUGAUGAUGUGGUUAAGUACAUCAGGACAAUUAGUUUUCUAUACAAUGCUUUUGUUUGCUAUAGUGCGUCAAGAGCGAUAGUAGUGUGUAUCAUCAUGGUUUCCAACGUUUUUUAUUUGAGAUAUAUUGGGAGCAAGAUGUGUAUUUUGCAUAUUAACUGUUAUGAACCGUCAGAGUCCGAUACUGAAGUAAACCCGUAAAGCUCAAGUCGAAGAAUAUUCUAAAAGUAUAACAAAGAUUAAGAAAUUUAGAAUAUUUACUUAUUCAUUUUUAUCUAUUUCAUUUUCUAAUUAGGUUAAACAUAAAAUUAACAUAUAUACCAUGACCUAUUCCUAUACCAAUUGCAUGCAUAUAUGUUAACGAUUAGGUUUCUAACAAGUAACAUGUAUAAAACAAGAUUAUAAUAUUUUUAAGAGAAUGUGUAAGAGUCAAAAUUACUUUUGUUUUGGAUUUUGUAUAAUAAACGACGUAUGUGUUUUAUAAUACCAACAACUUUUUGUAUUUCUUAUCUUAUACCAAAUAAUUAGAAAAUCUAAGCAAUUUAAACCGAAGUUAAACCGGAAUUUGGAUUGGGAGGUGCUCAUAACAAACAAUUAUAUUGUUCUCUGCUUUCAAGAAAUGCUACUUUCUCCUUCUUCGUCAAAUUCUCUUUAAAGAUUCAUUAACGACGCUUCAGGUAUCUAUCUUUGAAGAUCUGAUCGGAGAUUAGUGAAAAUUAGGGUUCUUUAGAUUAGGGUUGGCGCAAAAAGUAUGGAUAGGAUCAGUAAUUUACCAGAGGAACUUGCUUGUCACGUAAUCUCAUUCCUUUCAACAAAAGACGCAGCGAGGUUGAAGUAUGCUUCCAAGAAAUGGUAUAAUCUUGUUACCAUCAUACAGAGUUGUGUUUUUGCUGAUUCGUACUAUCCCAUCAAUGGAAGUUUCGAAGUUUUCGCUGCUCGAUUACUAUCUCCUCGACAUGACCAGAGUCACCACCGUAUGAGAAGAUUCUAUCUAAAGCUCACGUCUUCGUCUUUGGAUCCUUCUCAGUGUGAUACAGUCAACGAGUGUUUACUUAGUGUGUUCAAGCGUGGUGUCUUGGAUCUUGAACUCCACAUCAAAGGACGUUAUGAUCAUUACUACUCACUGCCUUCAGAGUUGUUCACUUGCAAGAGCGUUGUGAAACUGAGACUAGGCUCUGGUUUUGUUAUUGAUCUUAUCCCUAGUACUGCUCUGCUUCCUUCUCUCAAGUCUCUCUUUCUUGAUUCAGUUAUGUUCGAUGAUACUACUGCGUUUACAAGGCUUAUCUCUGCUUGUCCUGUGCUUGAGGAGUUACUCAUACAUGGCUUCAACUGUGAAGAUUGGUACUGGUCUCGCGUUGUAUCUAGUCACAUCCUUAAGAGACUUACUAUUCGACGCCAAGAACUGUAUCACGAUGGAGCUAGUUUUGACCCUAUCAGUUUUGAUAUUCCGAGUCUUGAAUACUUGAUUACUUAGAUGUUCUUAGAGAUCAUUAUCCAGUUGUUAAUCUCAGUUCACUUGUUGAAGCUAAGAUAGAGCAUCGUCCUCUUUACAAUAGGGAUAACUAUGAUGUUACCAAUCUGAUUAAAGGGUUAAAGAAUGUUCAGAUUCUUACCAUAGGAGCUGUUGACACAUUGGAAGUAAGUGUUGUCUCUUUAAUGAUCUGUUUGUUAUUGAAGUUAUGACUCCACUGAGACUAAUUGUCUCUUUCAUGUAAUAGCUGUUUUGGGAGUUUCCUGAAGCUGUCCCAGUGUUUGAGAACCUGUUUCAUUUAUCAGUAUGUACUCUGCUUACUCUUCUUAAAAACUCUCCAAAUCUUAAGACUCUCACCAUUGAGGUAUGAACAAGAAACAUCCCAAAUAGUCCAUUGGAGAAACAAAAGAAUCGAAAACUCACAAAAUCUUUUUUGCAGGCUUUGCACUAUCAUACUAGAAAAGGUGAUGAGGUGUCUCUUUGCCAAUGCUUGGAGGGUUACUCGUUUCUUUUGUCCUGCCAUAUUGAGAUAUUAAAGAUAAACCAAUUCUAUGGAUAUAUUGGAGAAAUGGUGCAAAUAAAGCAUAUCUUGGAGAAACUGCAGUAUUUGGUGUUGUUGGAAGUUCAUGUUGAGGGAAGAAGUGAUGAUGACCUGCAGAUCUUGGUGGAUCUCUUAAUGCUUCCCAGAGCUUCAUCUAAAUGCAAAGUCCAGGUCAUGUUCUCCUGAACAAACAUACGUGCAGUGCACGGUUCUGAUAAAAAGAAACUUACGUGCAAUGCACGGUUCCUGUUUGCUGUUUUGUUUUGGAUCUUUCAUACAUAGACUACUGUUUUUUUCUAAAGUUCAGUAAUUAAUGCUGCUAUGUAGCCAGCUUCAGUCUUUUGUUCGAAGAUUACAAUUCAUAAACAAUCAUAACGUUUAAAUUCACUAGCACAAUUGCACAAACCAAACAAGCCUUAGCAUAAUACGAUAUGGUAUAUAUAUCCAUAGGUGUGUUUCUAAUUAUUUAUUCACAAGCCAAUUUAGUGUCGAAGCUGCUCAAGCAAAUAGUAAAGGCUUGAAAGGCAGAGAGAGGGUAGCUAUAGUCCAUAGUGAACAUGUCCUUACCCACUUUCCCAAACUGUAGUAU